Non-coding RNA from Hordeum vulgare subsp. vulgare (domesticated barley), 136 nucleotides. NCBI's taxonomy places the organism in Eukaryota, Viridiplantae, Streptophyta, Magnoliopsida, Poales, Poaceae. The record is from Rfam.
AUAAUACUCCCCCCGUUUCAAAAUUCUUGUCUUAGAUUUGUUAAGAUAUGAAUGUAUCUAGUCAUAUUUUAGUAUUUAGAUACAUCUAUUUCUAGACAAACCGAAGACAAGAAUUUUGAGACGGAGGGAGUAAUUA